RNAcentral lists this long non-coding RNA (1085 nucleotides) under Nicotiana tabacum (common tobacco). Its description in RNAcentral is "long non-coding RNA (NTAB_LNC010757)". The record is from RNAcentral. Lineage: Eukaryota; Viridiplantae; Streptophyta; Magnoliopsida; Solanales; Solanaceae.
UAUAACAGUGUAAUCCACAAAUAUUUGUCAAAUUCCACAAAAACUGCAGGCAUUGAAUCGCUCAAGAAACCAGUUCUGAAAUAGUUUGAAAUUUAUUUCUUGAGCAAGGAAUCUCAGUUUGUUGCUAAAUUCAUGGAUCAUCCGUCUUGUUCUCUCUUUUGAGUUUAUGCAAACUUCAGUAGAGUGGUUCAAAGAAUACUCUCAAGUUCUUAGGUUUGUUUUUAAUUUGCCUAGUGUAUGUUAAUUUAUUUGUCUCUAAUUUGAUCUUUGAGUUUUGUGUUCUCUCAUAUGGCAAAUCCUCUUUCCUUCUUAUGAAGUAAUUGACACUACCUGCUGACAAGAAUUUAUAUAUAGUUCAGUAUCUCUUGUGAACCCCUUAUUAUCAAUAGGUUUCAAGCACAAUAUCGUAGAAGGGAUACUAAAAAAGCACCUAAUAGAGUAUAUUGUAAAGCAUAAAAAGAAGAAGAAGAGGAAAUAGCUUUGUGUCUGCUGAAGAUAUGCUUAGAUAACUGAAAUUUCAAUUCUGGUCACUUGUGAUAAAACUAUAGAGAAGUGGAACACAGUCUCCUUUCUGAUUGCUGACUUAAUCUUCCCACAGUCAAAUAACACAUAUUUUAGAAGCUGAAUUAUUAUGAAGAAAGACCUGGAAAGCAUUUGAUAUUUCUCCAAAUGUUUAUGGUGCUGUCAUUUUCUAUAGGAUGUUGUUUUGGCAAUGGUUUUGAUGAGAACAACUCCUCUUGGUCCAAUACUGGAGAAGCUAAUUAAAAAGAAGCAUUCUGUUAAUUUUUGGUUGCUGAGUUAACACCCAUUGUUGCUCAGUAAAAGGCUGAUGGAAUGAGAGCAGUGACUGCAGUGUUUUAAAGUAAAAUUGUUUGAGACUACUAAUUGUUUUUUUUUAUGCAGUCCUCCAAUCUACGACAUGGCGUUGGAGAUGGCGUUCUGUCACCAACUGGGCCAAGAAGAUUCUUUGACGAAAGUAACUAUGAAAAUGGAGCAAAUGACAAUUAGUAAUCAUUGUUAGGACGAACUAUGUUUUUUUUUGUGUUGAAACUUAAACUUGAAUCUUGGAUGAUGUUGAUUUUGGG